Molecule: ribosomal RNA, 253 nt
Filed under: uncultured bacterium
Lineage: Bacteria
Description: partial 16S ribosomal RNA
Rfam family: Bacterial small subunit ribosomal RNA
Source: RNAcentral
UACGUAGGUGGCAAGCGUUGUCCGGAAUUAUUGGGCGUAAAGGGCGUGCAGGCGGUCUGUUAAGUCUAGGGUGAAAGCUCCCGGCUCAACUGGGAGAGGUCCUUGGAUACUGGCGGACUUGAGGGAGGCAGAGGAAAGUGGAAUUCCCGGUGUAGUGGUGAUAUGCGUAGAUAUCGGGAGGAACACCAGUGACGAAGGCGGCUUUCUGGGCCUUACCUGACGCUGAGACGCGAAAGCUAGGGGAGCGAACAGG